GAUGAACGCUGGCGGCGUGCCUAAUACAUGCAAGUCGAGCGAACAGACGAGGAGCUUGCUCCUCUGACGUUAGCGGAGGACGGGUGAGUAACACGUGGAUAACCUACCUAUAAGACUGGGAUAACUUCGGGAAACCGGAGCUAAUACCGGAUAAUAUAUUGAACCGCAUGGUUCAAUAGUGAAAGACGGUUUUGCUGUCACUUAUAGAUGGAUCCGCGCCGCAUUAGCUAGUUGGUAAGGUAACGGGUUACCAAGGCAACGAUGCGUAGCCGACCUGAGAGGUGGGUCGGCCACACUGGAGCUUAACCACGGUCCAGACUCCUACGGGAGGCAGCAGUAUGGAAUCUUCCGCAGUGGGCGAAAGCCUGACGGAGCAACGCCGCGUGAGUUAUGAAGGUCUUCGGAUCGUAAUACUCUGUUAUUAGUGAAGAACAAAUGUGUAAGUAACUAUGCACGUCUUGACGGUACCUAAUCAGAAAGCCACGGCUAACUACGUG
This 497-nucleotide ribosomal RNA is filed under the name uncultured bacterium. RNAcentral describes it as "partial 16S ribosomal RNA". It matches the Rfam family "Bacterial small subunit ribosomal RNA", at positions 28 to 507 of the family's 1533-position model. The record is from RNAcentral.